GAUGAACGCUGGCGGCGUGCCUAAUACAUGCAAGUAGAACGCUGAAGCUUGGUGCUUGCACCGAGCGGAUGAGUUGCGAACGGGUGAGUAACGCGUAGGUAACCUGCCUGGUAGCGGGGGAUAACUAUUGGAAACGAUAGCUAAUACCGCAUAACAGUCGACAUUGCAUGAUGUUGAUUUAAAAGGGGCAAAUGCUCCACUACCAGAUGGACCUGCGUUGUAUUAGCUAGUUGGUGAGGUAACGGCUCACCAAGGCGACGAUACAUAGCCGACCUGAGAGGGUGAUCGGCCACACUGGGACUGAGACACGGCCCAGACUCCUACGGGAGGCAGCAGUAGGGAAUCUUCGGCAAUGGACGGAAGUCUGACCGAGCAACGCCGCGUGAGUGAAGAAGGUUUUCGGAUCGUAAGCUCUGUUGUAAGAGAAGAACGAGUGUGAGAGUGGAAAGUUCACACU
RNAcentral lists this ribosomal RNA (457 nucleotides) under Streptococcus sp. oral taxon 066. Its description in RNAcentral is "bacterial SSU rRNA". It matches the Rfam family "Bacterial small subunit ribosomal RNA", at positions 28 to 470 of the family's 1533-position model. The record is from RNAcentral. Lineage: Bacteria; Bacillati; Bacillota; Bacilli; Lactobacillales; Streptococcaceae.